This 88-nucleotide non-coding RNA is filed under the name Pseudomonas sp. NFACC15-1. Lineage: Bacteria; Pseudomonadati; Pseudomonadota; Gammaproteobacteria; Pseudomonadales; Pseudomonadaceae. The record is from RNAcentral. RNAcentral also lists the same sequence under 1 other name.
UGGGAGCAAAGCUUGCUCGCGAUGGUGGCAGACCAGUCAGCGGCAUUGUCGACUGGCUUAUCCCUAUCGCGAGCAGGCUUUGCUCCCA